CAACUCACAUCGCAAGUUCGCAACCUUGCUGGCCGCAUGACAUUUUUUCGUUGUGGGUAAACCGCACGGAAACGGAUUCGUUCCUGUUUUUAUCCUUCAGAUGCAUUUCCGUUAUGCUGGUUCGGCUCUGGAUGCUUAAAACGCAACUUGCAACAAAAAUGAUGGGAAAGAAAGGCUGAAAUCCGUGGCAUUUUCUUUCAACCAAAACAAUGCCUUGCUCACUUGGCCUCUUAUCUUCCCCAGUGUUCCCUCCUCAGAAAACUAGCUCGCUCAUUCUAAAAUCUUAUCCACUUCAUCGUCUCUCUGUCAAUUCAUCCAUUGAUAAAAACUCCACCACCAAUUCUAGCAGCAGCAACAAUAAAUCCAGUUCCUGGGUCAGCCCAGAUUGGCUGACUUCAUUGACUAGGUCCCUUACCUCGGGAAAAGACGAUUCUGGCAUUCCUGCUGCAAGUGCCAAACUCGACGAUGUUUCUGACCUUCUCGGCGGCGCUCUUUUUCUCCCACUCUUUAAAUGGAUGAAUGAGUACGGCCCCAUUUACCGACUCGCCGCAGGUCCUAGAAAUUUUGUGGUGGUUAGUGACCCUGCUAUAGCGAAGCAUGUUCUAAGGAAUUAUGCUACAUAUGCAAAGGGCCUUGUUUCCGAGGUUUCGGAGUUCCUGUUUGGGUCCGGUUUUGCAAUUGCUGAGGGCGCACUCUGGACGGUAAGGCGCAGGGCCGUGGUUCCAUCUCUUCAUAAACGCUACUUGUCUGUUAUGGUUGAUCGGGUAUUUUGUACAUGUGCUGAGAGACUAGUGGAGAAGCUACAAUAUGAUGCACUGAAUGGAAUUCCAGUUAACAUGGAGGAGAAGUUUUCACAGUUGACUCUAGAUGUUAUUGGUUUGUCUGUAUUCAACUACAACUUUGAUUCACUUAAUGCAGAUAGUCCUGUUAUUGAGGCUGUUUACACUGCAUUGAAGGAGGCAGAAGCUCGUUCAACUGAUAUUUUGCCAUAUUGGAAGGUUAACGUUCUUUGCAAAAUAAUCCCUAGACAAAUAAAAGCUGAAAAAGCUGUAAACAUAAUCAGGAAAACUGUUGAAGAACUUAUUGUAAAAUGUAAAGAGAUUGUGGAGGCUGAGGGUGAAAGAAUUGAUGGUAGUGAUGAAUAUGUGAAUGACUCUGAUCCUAGUAUCCUUCGGUUCCUGCUUGCGAGCAGAGAAGAGGUUUCCAGUCUGCAGCUACGGGAUGAUCUUUUGUCACUAUUAGUUGCUGGCCAUGAAACCACUGGUUCAGUUUUAACCUGGACACUUUAUCUUCUUAGUAAGAAUUCUUCCUCAUUGGGCAAAGCACAGGAAGAGGUGGACAGAGUUUUACAAGGAAGACGUCCUACCUAUGAAGAUAUCAAAGAUCUUAAGUUCUUGACACGCUGCAUUAUUGAGUCACUUCGGCUUUAUCCACAUCCUCCUGUCUUGUUAAGAAGAGCUCAAGUUCCUGACAUGCUUCCUGGAGAUUACAAGGUUGAUGCUGGUCAAGAUAUUAUGAUUUCUGUAUAUAACAUACAUCAUUCUUCAGAGGUUUGGGAGAGAGCUGAAGAGUUUUUGCCAGAAAGAUUUGAUUUGGAUAGGCCAGUCCCAAACGAAACAAAUACAGAUUUCAGAUUUAUUCCAUUCAGUGGAGGACCCCGCAAGUGUGUUGGUGAUCAGUUUGCUUUAUUGGAAGCAACAGUUGCUCUCGCAAUCUUUCUUCAGCACAUGAAUUUUGAACUGGUUCCUGAUCAGAAUAUUAGUAUGACGACUGGAGCAACUAUACAUACGACAAACGGCUUGUACAUGAAACUCAGCCCACGGCAGAGAUAGUUGGCUUCGUGUUCGUCUUCCUUUGACAAGUUCAGCUGUAAAAUUGCCCAUAGCUUGCGACACAUCAUUUACUCAUUGUAAUUCGUUUUUGAUGGCCCAACCGACGAUGCAGCUUUUUCUGAAUUUCGGAAUUUCCUAAAGAAGAUUAGUUCAUGUUCAAAGUGAAGAAGUGUAUUGGCAGAUGAGUCAGACAUAAUUCUGGUUUUCAUCAUUUAGCUACGAUGACUCUGCACCUUUUCUAAUUGAAGUUUGCACAUGAUGCUAGUAUUUCUUUGUUUUUA
RNA transcript from Prosopis cineraria, 2113 nucleotides. It is a transcript of the gene named carotene epsilon-monooxygenase, chloroplastic, with no coding region annotated. NCBI's taxonomy places the organism in Eukaryota, Viridiplantae, Streptophyta, Magnoliopsida, Fabales, Fabaceae. The transcript has 10 exons. The record is from RefSeq and is a predicted model, not a curated record.